GUGAUCCCCCCGACCACAGCACUGCACAUCAAAGACCACAAUGCCAUCAGAUGCCAAAAAGAAGCGUGAGCAAAAGAAGAAGGAAGCAGCAAAAGCUAAACAAGCUGGCAAGAAGAUAGAAACAAAGGAUGAAAAGGAGCCUCAAGAAAAUGGGAAUUCAAACAAUUCCAAGAAGAAUUCCCGUGAAACAACACCAUUGAUGAAUGGCACCACAAAUGGUACAGAGAAGCUUAGUGCUGAAGGU
Cherax quadricarinatus is the source of this 244-nucleotide non-coding RNA. Lineage: Eukaryota; Metazoa; Arthropoda; Malacostraca; Decapoda; Parastacidae. The record is from RefSeq and is a predicted model, not a curated record.